This 497-nucleotide ribosomal RNA is filed under the name uncultured bacterium. RNAcentral's name for it is "bacterial SSU rRNA". It matches the Rfam family "Bacterial small subunit ribosomal RNA", at positions 29 to 507 of the family's 1533-position model. The record is from RNAcentral.
ACAAACACUGGCGGCGUGCCUAACACAUGCAAGUCGUACGAGAAAGUCGGCUUCGGCCGAUGAGUACAGUGGCGCACGGGUGAGUAGCGCGUGGGUAAUCUGCCCCCCGGUCAGGAAUAACCCGCCGAAAGGCGGGCUAAUACCCCGAUAACACUGACGCUCCGCGGAGCGUCUUUCAAAGAAGGCCUCUGUUUACAAGCUUUCGCCGGAGGAUGAGCCCGCGUACCAUUAGCUAGUUGGCAGGGUAAUGGCCUACCAAGGCUACGAUGGUUAGCUGGUCUGAGAGGAUGGCCAGCCACACUGGAACUGAGACACGGUCCAGACUCCUACGGGAGGCAGCAGUGAGGAAUAUUGCGCAAUGGAGGCAACUCUGACGCAGCCAUGCCGCGUGCAGGAAGAAGGCGCUACGCGUUGUAAACUGCUUUUAACCGGGAAGAAACCCCUCUACGUGUGGAGGGUUGACGGUACCGGAGGAAUAAGCACCGGCUAACUUCGUG